UCCCUCUCAGGGUCACACCUGGAGAGUUUCCAGUCCUCUACCAGUCAUGAGCACAGGAGGGAGAGUCAAGCAGAGGUCUACCCAUUCCAUUCCUAGCUUGGGCAGCGGCUAGUGAGUGGAAGGCAAUCUGUUACAAGU
RNAcentral lists this small nucleolar RNA (138 nucleotides) under Ornithorhynchus anatinus (platypus). Lineage: Eukaryota; Metazoa; Chordata; Mammalia; Monotremata; Ornithorhynchidae. The record is from RNAcentral.